Molecule: long non-coding RNA, 328 nt
Filed under: Elaeis guineensis (African oil palm)
Lineage: Eukaryota; Viridiplantae; Streptophyta; Magnoliopsida; Arecales; Arecaceae
Description: long non-coding RNA (EGUI_LNC029783)
Source: RNAcentral
CACCGGCACUGACCCUUGCUUCAAUGGCUAGAGAGCAUCACCCUGGACCCUCUGUUUCUCCUCGCACACCUGCUAUGAGUCACAAUUUCUCUGCUGACAAGAUUGUGGAGCAGGUAGUGGAAUAGAUCACUGAGAAAAUUGGAGCCAUAUUUUCAGACCUCAGAUAGCAGAUUUCUCAGAGUCUUGAGGAGUAAAGAGUAUCGUCUGAGGGAUAGCUUGAGAUGCUCUGUCAGUAGAUCAGCAAUUUAUCUCAAAGGUUAGAAAUUUUGGAGAAGGAACAGAGUGGGACAUCUGCGAAGGUUGAACACUUAACUAUGAAGUCCACCAA